ACACCUCAACUCUCAUGGUCUGCCAUGAUGAGCUUGGACUUUGGGGGUCUUGCCGGCCUAGUGUCGGCUCCUCUCAAAUGGAUCAGCUUUCCAGUGUUUGGUGGCGUCACGGGUGUGAUAAUUAUCUACGCUUGUGGUUUUCCGCCAUGCAACCUUCAGCGAUGGAGGUUCGCUGGAGCUCACAGAUGUCUCUCCUUGGUGAGGACAGCUUUUUGAC
This 217-nucleotide unclassified non-coding RNA is filed under the name uncultured Tomentella. RNAcentral's name for it is "sequence contains ITS2". Lineage: Eukaryota; Fungi; Basidiomycota; Agaricomycetes; Thelephorales; Thelephoraceae. The record is from RNAcentral.